This 68-nucleotide transfer RNA is filed under the name Parapoynx crisonalis. RNAcentral describes it as "tRNA-Glu". The record is from RNAcentral. Lineage: Eukaryota; Metazoa; Arthropoda; Insecta; Lepidoptera; Crambidae.
AUUUAUAUAGUUUAAUAAAACAUUACAUUUUCAUUGUAAAAUUAAAAUUUAAUUUAUUUUUAUAAAUA